This is a long non-coding RNA of Xenopus laevis (African clawed frog), 2734 nucleotides long. RefSeq lists it as uncharacterized. Lineage: Eukaryota; Metazoa; Chordata; Amphibia; Anura; Pipidae. The transcript has 2 exons. The record is from RefSeq and is a predicted model, not a curated record.
CAAUUUUGCCUAUAUCAGCAGUUGGGGUUAAGGGUUUAACAAGAAAUCUGGGGAUAAAAGCACAGCCUUUGCCUUGGGUCAGGAGCUUCACCUUGGACUCUUGAAAGAGUGCCGGGAACUUGGAUCAUCGCUUGAUUAUCGGGAACCUGAGGUUCAUGUACCCAAAGGCUGCGGAGCUCCCCGAUUGCGCUGAUUGAUUGAUGCUGAACUGGCUAUUCCUGUAAUUAUCACCAUACAAAGCUAAGUAAAGUUAAACCAAUUCUAAGGGGACAUGACAAAUGGACACCAGUGUACAUCCCUCCGCCUAAGCAUCCUGUCAAUCUCAUCAAUAUCGCAUACCCGGAGGACAAAAGGAAAUUACUGAAACAAUACAAGCCUUGCUAGAAGCUGGAGAAUUUUGACCAGCAAUAAGUCCAUUUAAUGCUCCAGUUUUUCCUGUAAAGAAGAAGGAUGGAAGCUGGAGAAUGUGGAUUAUCGGGGUUAAACAAAGCAGCCCCACAUCUUGCUGCUGUUGUUCCAGAUAUGGUUUCUAUUGUCAAGGACAUUGCCCAAACUGCUUGAAAUUAGCAUGCAGUAUUAGACUUGGCAAAUGCUUCCUUUUCCAUUCUUAUAGCUGAGGAGUCUCAAGACCAGUUUGCAUUCACCUGGAGAGGCAAACAAUAUACACUAACUGUAGUACCCCAGGGGUACAUACAUUCUCCCACAAUCUGUCAUGGACUGGUAACCAGGGAUCUGGCCAUGCUGCCUACACUGGACUGUAAGCUGUAUCAUUACAUUGAUGAUAUUAUGAUUUCAGGCAGCUCAGAGGAACAAGUGAAAAUGGAUUUACAAACAGUGUUGACAUGUGUGCAGAAAAGAGGAUGGGCUAUAAAUGCAGAAAAAAUCCAAGGACUAGCUAAUAGUGUCAGAUUUCUAGGAAUGAUCUGGGCUGUAACAGUGAAGACUAUCCCACAGCCUGUGUUGGACUCAAUUGCGGCACUCAAAUCACCCAAAAAUGUAAAGGAAGCCCAAAGUUUGUUGGGCCUGCUGGGAUUUUGGAGGCCUUUUAUUCCGCACCUGGGCCUCAUUAUCAGGCCUAUUUACAAUAUUACUAGGAAAAAGGCUGAAUUAAUUUAGUGAUCUGAGCAGCAAUUGGCACUCGACGCAGCCAAAGAAACUGUAAGGACUCAUCAUUCACUAGGUCAUAUUCAACCAGAUCACCCAUUCUUUCUAGAUGAAGCAGUGACAGAUCAUGGAAUGUCUUGGGGAUUGUGGCAAAAAGGGCCUAAUCCAAAAGAUAGGAAAAUUCCUCUGGGUUUCUGGUCUAAGCAAUUUUCAACUGCACAGAAAAAGUACAACCCAUUAGAGAAGCAGUUGUUAGCUGCUUAUUCUGCUUUGCAACAUGUUGAGCCUACCACCAAACAGCAACCUGUGACUGUGAGGACCGAUUUACCUAUUGCUGGGUGGGUGAGACAGGAAGGGCUACAAUCCCGUACAAGUGUGGCCCAGAAACAGACCUUACUGAAAUGGAAAUGGUAUGUGAGUGAAAGAGGGGGAAUCUUUUCCCAAGAUCCUAGUCAGCUAUCACAACAAAUUGCUGGCCUUGUUAGUUUUGAAUCAAAUUCACCUCAAUUGCUCCCAAUGCAAAUAGAGGAGUCUCCAUUCAAGGAAGCCCCACCAUGGAUAGAAUCAUCAGCAGAAGAUAAACUACAAGCAUGGUUUACAGAUGGUUCAGCUAAAGUGACUCCCAAGGGCCGAUAUGGACUGCAGCAGCCUUCCAGCCUAGUUCAGAGACUGUGAUUCAUCAAACUGGAGAAGGAGGUUCUAGUCAAUAUGCUGAACUACAGGCAGUUUAUAUGGUUGUCCAAGAAACCUUGGGGGACUUGGUUAUCUAUACAGACAGCUGGGCUGUAUUUAAAGGACUCACUACCUGGCUUUGUACCUGGAAAAAAGACAACUGGCAGGUAAACGGGGUGGGCCAAAAAGUAUGGGACUAUUUAUUGUUUCAAGGAAAAAUAGGUUUAUACAAGUUGGCCAUGUUAAUGCUCACAAUGGAAAUAUAAACAAUGAAAUAGCAGAUGGACUAGCACAAGGCUUUAAUGCACAACAAGAAGAGACUACCUUGGAACUGCUGGGCAAAUGAGCUCACAGCCAAACAGGACAUAGAGGAGUUCAAAGUACUUGGCAGUGGGUACAGCAGAGAGGAAUACCUCUAACACAGAUCCAAUAAAGGACAAUAUUGUUCAAUGUCCUAUAUGUCAGGAAGCUAAGAAAUGGCCACCCAUAACCCCUUUGCCUGGAAAAAUGAAUCAAGGACAAAAGUCAGGUCAAGUCUGGCAAGUGGAUUAUAUUAGAUCCUUGCCUGGGGGAAGGGGUGGUUUGAGAUUUUGUGUAACUGCUGUGGACACAUACAAUGGAUUUUGUACAAGUAUUUCCAACAAAAAGUGCGGAUAAAAAGACUACCUUACGAUUGAUGCAAUUAUUGUUACAACAUUAUGGAAUAGCUCAAGAAGUACAAUCAGAUAAUGGCACACAUUUCACUGGACAGACUGUAAAGCAAUGGGUGGAGGACAAUGGUGUACUGGGUGUUUCUCUACUACCCCCAAGCAGCAGGGUUGAUUGAGAGAAUGAAUGGUCUUUUGAAGGAACAAAUUCGCAAACUUACACCUGCUUGCACACUAAGGGGGUGGAAAAAGGUGUUACAAGAGGCAGUAUACUUACUGAAUAAUAGAUCAGAAGGGCAUAGCACUCCUAU